Molecule: transfer-messenger RNA, 363 nt
Filed under: Salmonella enterica
Lineage: Bacteria; Pseudomonadati; Pseudomonadota; Gammaproteobacteria; Enterobacterales; Enterobacteriaceae
Also listed under: 2 other names
Description: Standard tmRNA
Rfam family: transfer-messenger RNA
About the family: Bacterial tmRNA, also known as 10Sa RNA or SsrA, is named for its dual tRNA and mRNA-like properties. Its role is to liberate the mRNA from a stalled ribosome.
Source: RNAcentral
GGGGCUGAUUCUGGAUUCGACGGGAUUUGCGAAACCCAAGGUGCAUGCCGAGGGGCGGUUGGCCUCGUAAAAAGCCGCAAAAAAAUAGUCGCAAACGACGAAACCUACGCUUUAGCAGCUUAAUAACCUGCUUAGAGCCCUCUCUCCCUAGCCUCCGCUCUUAGGACAGGGAUCAAGAGAGGUCAAACCCAAAAGAGAUCGCGCGGAUGCCCUGCCUGGGGUUGAAGCGUUAAAACGAAUCAGGCUAGUCUGGUAGUGGCGUGUCCGUCCGCAGGUGCCAGGCGAAUGUAAAGACUGACUAAGCAUGUAGUACCGAGGAUGUAGGAAUUUCGGACGCGGGUUCAACUCCCGCCAGCUCCACCA